UAGUCUGGUGCCAGCAGCCGCGGUAAUUUGAGCUCCAUUAGCGCAUGUUACAGUUGUUGCGGUGCUCGUAGUUGGAUUUCUGCCACGGACAACCAGUCCGCCCUCUGGGCAUGUGUCUGGCUUUGCCUGGGCAUUUUCUUGGAGAACGUAGCUGCGCUUGACUUUGUGGUGCGGUAUCCAAGAUUUUUACUUUGAAGACAUUAGAAUGUUUGAAGCAGGCGCGCGCCUUGAUUACAUUAGCAUGGAUUCAUACGAUAGGACCUCGGUUCUAUUUUGUUGGUUUGUAGAGCUGAGGUAAUGAUUCAUAGGGAUAGUUGGGGGCAUUCGUAUUGAAUUGUCAGAGGUGGAAUUCUUGGAUUUCUUAAAGCCGCGCUACUGCCAGCAUUUGCCAAGGAUGUUUUCAUUGAUCAAGAACGACAGUUAGGGGAUCGAAGACGAUCAGAUUUCGUCCUAGUCUUAACCAUAAACCAUGCCGACUAGAGAUUGCAGGUCGUUAUCUAUACGACUCCUUCAGCGCCUUCUGAGAAAUCAAAAUCAUCGGGUUCCGGCGGGAGUAUGAUCGCAAGGCUGAACCUUAAAGGAAUUGACGGAAGGGCACCGCCAGGAGUUGAGCUUGCGGCAUAAUUUGAUUCAACACGGGGAAACUUACCAGGCCCAGACAUAGUAAGGAUUGACAGAUUGAUAGCUCUUUCUUGAUUCUAUGAGUGGUGGUGCAUGGCCGUUCUU
Molecule: ribosomal RNA, 726 nt
Filed under: uncultured eukaryote
Lineage: Eukaryota
Description: bacterial SSU rRNA
Rfam family: Eukaryotic small subunit ribosomal RNA
Source: RNAcentral